This 448-nucleotide ribosomal RNA is filed under the name uncultured bacterium. RNAcentral's name for it is "bacterial SSU rRNA". It matches the Rfam family "Bacterial small subunit ribosomal RNA", at positions 329 to 793 of the family's 1533-position model. The record is from RNAcentral.
UGCCAGACUCCUACGGGAGGCAGCAGUGGGGAAUAUUGCACAAUGGGGGAAACCCUGAUGCAGCGACGCCGCGUGAGUGAAGAAGUAUUUCGGUAUGUAAAGCUCUAUCAGCAGGAACGAGACAAGACGGUACCUGACUAAGAAGCCCCGGCUAACUACGUGCCAGCAGCCGCGGUAAUACGUAGGGGGCAAGCGUUAUCCGGAAUCACUGGGUGUAAAGGGAGCGUAGACGGCUGUGCAAGCCUGAAGUGAAAUGCCGGGGCUUAACCCCGGAACUGCUUUGGAAACUGUGCAGCUAGAGUGCAGGAGAGGUAAGGGGAAUUCCUAGUGGAGCGGUGAAAUGCGUAGAUAUUAGGAGGAACACCAGGGGCGAAGGCGGCUUACUGGACUGUAACUGACGUUGAGGCUCGAAAGCGGGGGGAGCAAACAGGAUUAGAUACCCCCGUAC